GAUGAACGCUGGCGGCGUGCCUAAUACAUGCAAGUCGAGCGAACAGACGAGGAGCUUGCUCCUCUGACGUUAGCGGCGGACGGGUGAGUAACACGUGGAUAACCUACCUAUAAGACUGGGAUAACUUCGGGAAACCGGAGCUAAUACCGGAUAAUAUAUUGAACCGCAUGGUUCAAUAGUGAAAGACGGGUUUGCUGUGUCUUAUAGAUGGAUCCGCGCCGCAUUAGCUAGUUGGUAAGGUAACGGCUUACCAAGGCAACGAUGCGUAGCCGACCUGAGAGGGUGAUCGGCCACACUGGAACUGAGACACGGUCCAGACUCCUACGGGAGGCAGCAGUAGGGAAUCUUCCGCAAUGGGCGAAAGCCUGACGGAGCAACGCCGCGUGAGUGAUGAAGGUCUUCGGAUCGUAAAACUCUGUUAUUAGGGAAGAACAAAUGUGUAAGUAACUAUGCACGUCUUGACGGUACCUAAUCAGAAAGCCACGGCUAACUACGUG
This 497-nucleotide ribosomal RNA is filed under the name uncultured bacterium. RNAcentral's name for it is "partial 16S ribosomal RNA". It matches the Rfam family "Bacterial small subunit ribosomal RNA", at positions 28 to 507 of the family's 1533-position model. The record is from RNAcentral.